This 464-nucleotide ribosomal RNA is filed under the name cf. Chelator sp. A SB-2021a. Its description in RNAcentral is "partial 16S ribosomal RNA". It matches the Rfam family "Archaeal large subunit ribosomal RNA", at positions 1955 to 2682 of the family's 2987-position model. Lineage: Eukaryota; Metazoa; Arthropoda; Malacostraca; Isopoda; Desmosomatidae. The record is from RNAcentral.
UCCAUGAUUUAAAUAGCCGCAGUAUUUUGACUGUGCUAAGGUAGCAUAAUAGUUUGUCCGCUAAUUGCGGGCUGGAAUAAAGGAGUUGACGACACUUUGUCUUUUUUAACUAAAGAUUGGAAUUUGAUAUUUACAUCAAAAAGUGUAAAUUUCUAGGGGGACGAUAAGACCCUAUAAAACUUUAAUUUAGGGUAUUUUAUAGUAUUUAGGAUUAUAUAAAAUUUUAUAAAUUAGGCUGGGGCGGCACCUAAGAGGCUCUAGGAAAGAAAACAUAUUUAGUGAAUUUAAAGAUCUUAAAAAGACGUAGAAUAAGUUACUUUAGGGAUAACAGCAUAAUUUUUUUAUAUAGAACGCAUAAAAUAAAAAGACUUAUGACCUCGAUGUUGAAUUGAGGGGCCUAAUUUAAGCAGAAAUAAAUAUAGGGGGUCUGUUCGACCUUUAUUACCUCACGUGAUCUGAGUUCA